Monodelphis domestica (gray short-tailed opossum) is the source of this 3499-nucleotide long non-coding RNA. RefSeq lists it as uncharacterized. Lineage: Eukaryota; Metazoa; Chordata; Mammalia; Didelphimorphia; Didelphidae. The record is from RefSeq and is a predicted model, not a curated record.
UCGGAGCCGAGGGCACCUCCCAGAACACAGAUGGUACGGGACGGGGUGGAGCUACCGGGGUCCUCGUUAAGAGAAUUGCACUAAUCGAACGACAGCAGUAGCGAUCUGUGCACGACAUCAGCUCCCGGGGCGGCACCCAGACCUACAGUAUAGCUCCCCGCGCGCGGGAGCACGACUGGGGGCGGAGAGGGAGGAGCCCGGUGGGCUCGGGCGGAGUCGGACCGCCAGGUGCUCCCAUGUGCGGCCGGCAGGGGGCGCCAGCGGAUCGAGGACUCGACCUCCGCUCUGCCAGCCGAGACUAUGACACGUGGCACCUCAGAGCCGGACCUGCACUUGCCAGGGCUGAGGCGCGGGAGGAGGUGCCCUAGGGCCCGCCCAUAAGGAGCGGCCGAGAGCAUGCUGGGAGGUUGGCCUCUAGGUAGCCUUGGCUGAGUCAGUCUGUGUUACCUCCUCCCCCCAUCUUCCACCCCUGACUGUUGUGUUGAAGUUCCCGGGUGUGAGGCUUGCACUCAGAAGAGAUGACUUUUAAUUCUAGUCAGCAAGCGUUAUUGAAGCGUCUACUAUGUACUAACCGCUGGAGGAUACAAAGACUAGCAAAAACAGCCCCAGCCCUAAGGGAACGUUCUAGUUGUUGGGGGGAGACCACGUGUAAACAAUUACUGUACGGUUAAACUAGAUUUAGAUUGGCUGAAUAGAGAUCAUCCCAGGAGAGGACGCUGGCAUUGAAGGGAUAGAAGAGUGGAGAUGAUCAUGAAUGGGGACUGGGAAAGUGGAGAUUAUCCCAGAAGAAGACGCUGACAUUGACAGGGCCUCGGAAAGUCCAGCUUUUCCCCACAGUGAAUCAAUCGAUGAGCUCGUACAGAAUAUUUCAGACUUGACCAAUUUAGGGAUUUGUUUUGCUUGUUUAUACAUACAAUAGUGUCGUGCUUUCAAUUUGGGGCUGAAGAGUGUACAACAGAAUAACCAAAAUUGGAUUCGUUCUUCCUCUGAAUGUGGAUAGUGUUCUUUCCUAAAAGCAAAUUCUAAGGAACCUCGAAGAACAGAUAUUCAGCUAUAAAUCUGGAGAAGUUUUGGCAUCAUCGAUUUAAAGCUGGAAGGGACCUCAGAGACCAUCUGGUGCAGAGCCCUAUUUUACAGAUGAGGAAAGUGAAACCAAGAGGCGAUGUGUAACUUGCCAAAGUGUUAGACUGGAUUUUUACUCAGGUCCUCUCAUUGGUGUUUAUCCCAUGCCCAGUAGGAAAUGUGUAGUACAUGUACAAACCUUUUGUGCUGUGAAUUUAGGAAACAUCUCCCCAGAAAGAAUAGCCUCAAAGACCAAAAAAAUAUCAUCUUCUCAAUUAUAUAACUAAACACAGACUCUCAGCUUGAUUCUAUCCCAAAGGGGGAAGGGGGAGGGGGUGGACGGCGGCUCCAUUAUCCUAAACCUAACUAUUAGAAUGUGAUUAAAGGCCUCUAGGCCCACCAAGAUGGUCUAAUGACAUUAGAUACAGGGAAUCUUCCAACAGACCUGAUCUUGGAUGACACCAAACUUAUUCCAAAAUUAAGACGUUCUCUUCUGUUCCUCCCUACAAUGACCUGACAUCUUGUCCUUUUACUGUCUCCUAAAUAAGGAAAGUGGCUUCUUUCUUCAAAUGGGCCUCUUUUGCCACUUGCUCUAAGGCUAUGUAAACCCUAUGAGUGUGUGUAUGUCAUCUGCAGACUCUAUCUAAACUUUUUUAAUUUUAUAGCUCAGUCUCCAGGUUUAUUGACCUCCAGUCAACAGGCCCUAGAUGAAAGGAAUUACACUCUGGGAAUACAUUUGGACCUCUGAGUAGAGGAAUUCCCCAACAGAAAAAAAGAAGAGUUCUUACCUUGAAGGGUCAACAAAUUUGUAGAUUGAUCCAUGUGGUGCAUAGGCACUUGGAUAAGAGGUGGCCAGAAAAUACAGCUCUCCUAAACAACCAAAAACAGGCAAGACUGAGGGAUUUUAAUUUUAUCAGAACUUAAUCACUCAAGACAUCUCUCAGGGGUUGCAGAGCACAUAUAAGGGGUCCAGUCUGCAAACAAAGAAAAUAAGACUGAAUCUCUACCUUAUUAUAAGCCUCAAGAUGGAAGCAGUAGGUGCAAAAACAAGACUAGAACUCAAAACUGGAUUUCUUAGUCCUUCCUGGAGGCCCUUCUACUCUAAGAAAUGUUGUACUGGACUACAUCUUCAUUCAGUUUGAUUCAAUAAACCUAGAGGGUCUACCCAUACAAAAACAAAACGGUCCCUGCCCUCAAAAGCUAUGUGCCAAGUAUUUGUAUUUACCAAGAUUGUCUCAUUCAAUCCUCACAGCAGUCCUAGGAUGUAGGUGCUAUUAUUUUCCCCAUUUUUCAGUUGAGGAAACUGAAGCACAUAGCUGUUAAGUGGCCCUACCCAGGGUCACACAGCUAGUGAGUAUCCAAAGCUGAAUUUGAACUCAGGAACUCCUGAUUCCAGGCCCAGAACUCUAAUCACUGUGCCACCUCGCUUGCCUUCCAUUGUGGUAGAGGACCCAAAAUAUAUAAUAAUAAAUACAAGGAAAAUGAGGAAAGCGAGAAUAUCCAAUAGCACUGGGGGUGGGGAAGGGGACAAUCAAAGACAGCUUCAGGGAGGAUUGGCUUCUGACUUGAGCCUAGAUGGAAGAUAAGGAUUCUAAGAGGUGGGGAUGCAAGAAGUGCCUCAGACCAUUGGUUCUGCCAAUGCAGAGAGGCAGGAGGUGGAGUAUGAAGUUCAAGGAAAGGUUAGUAACCCAGUUUGCCUAGAACAUAGACAUCUUGAAGGUAUGUCAUAUGAAAUAAUGGUAGUGACAGCUAGCAUUUAUGUGGUGCUUUCAGAUUUGCCCAGGACUUUACAUUUUAAAAUUCAUUUGAUUUUUGACAACAACUCUAUAAAGUAGGUGUUCCUAUUAUCUUCAUUUCACAGAUGAGAAACUGAGAAACAUAGAAGUUAAGGAAAUUGCUUAGGGUCGCCCAACUGUGUCUGAAACAGGAUUUGAACCCAGGUGUCUCCUACCCCUUGCUCUAUCCACUAUGCCAUCUAGUUUGCCCUCAUGGGCCACCUGGUUUACUUCAUCAACUUUGGAAAGGUAGAUGAGAACUGGAUCUGUCAUUCAUAAUGCUGCUUUUUCUGGAAUGUGUAUGUAUAAAUGUAUAGAAUCAAAUAAAUAAAUUUGGUAUAUAUGUAUACAUGUAUAAUACAUAUAGGACCUCAGAGGCCAUCUAGGCCAAUUCAUUCCUGAAUUCAUAAUCCCUUGUAUAUCUCCACAGAGUAGUGGUCAGGCCUCUGCCUGAGGCCCUUCAGUGAGGAAGAAGCCAUCUGACCUCCCCAGGGAACACAUUCCACUUUUGGAAAGUUCAAAUUGGAAGGCAGUUUUUGCCAAUAUCAAAACAACUUCUCUAUCUACUACUCCAAGCUAUCUCUCUUACAAGAAUAUAAAUAUGUAUUUGUAUUAUAGAUUAACUUAUAUUAUCUAUUUACUAUAUCAUAAUAUUUAUCAUA